Molecule: long non-coding RNA, 453 nt
Organism: Ostrea edulis (European flat oyster)
Lineage: Eukaryota; Metazoa; Mollusca; Bivalvia; Ostreida; Ostreidae
Exons: 2
Source: RefSeq, a predicted model, not a curated record
ACUGACUGUGCAAAUAUUAAUUAUGAUGAUUUUUUUCUAAGCAUCAUCCUAAGGACCAGUGCAAGUUGAAAUGGGCUUCCAGCCAACAACUUCAACAGCAAUUUGCCAUGAAAAUCAGCAAGAAAGGUAAUUCAUUUACAUUGAUGAUGUCAUAUCCCCUGGACCCCACAACUUUACAGGUUACAGAGAAAAUUCAAGAACUUCUGCAAAAUGUGGGACUUGGAUAGAAUCAAUAAUGUAUUUGUGAGCCCAGAGCAAUGGAUAUAUUGUGCAACAUACUAAAGUGUGAAUUUAAUGGAAAACAAGUACAUGUACUCAUGUAUUACAUGUCUUUUUUAAAGACAAUAAUAUUGUAUAAAUAUAGAGGAAGUGUCAUUGUUGAUUAUUCUAAGUUUUUGAUAUAUCAAAAUCAGUAAACAUUUCUAAAUGAAAAUAAAAUACCAAUUUUAUAAC